CUCCACCGGCUGCUCGCCGGCUGCAUUGUGCUUGAGGCCCUUGAGCUUAGCAGGAUCCACGGCUUCAGCAGCGUCCAGAUCGUCUCGCCCACUCUCCGGAGUAUCAGUGUCUCUCUAGUUCGGCCUUUUAUGGAGUCCUACUACUUGGAAGCACAACCAGCGCUUCAGGAGCUUGUCGUCGAGGAUGCACCUUGCCAAGAUUGAUGCAAGUUGGUCCACUGGGUCCAAGCCAAAUCAAGAUGAACGCAGCGCCAAAACUGACAGUGUUGGGCUACCUGUUUGGCAAUAUAAUCAAAUGUUCGUUGCCAGGAAUUUUUGCUACUAAGGGUAUGAUCCCCAUCCCGUUCACCGGGUCGGUGCAUACAGUGAAGAUUUUGGUUCUGGAAUCCGUCGGCCCCAAUCUGGAUGCAAUUGUCCGAUGUCUUAGAUGCUUUCCCUGUCUGGAGAAGCUGUACAUCCAGGUGAAAACUUUUCUUGUUAGAAUGUUAGCAACUCCAGCAAAAUGAAUUGUAAAUAUGAAGUUAUUCAAAGCUGUUUUAAUUUUGCUCAAUCAUACAUCUCUCUCGAUGCCUAGUUUGGACUAUGGAGAUACUAUUAUUUAGUACUGUCGGUAAAGGUUUCUAUUUUUGCUAAAUUUCCCAAGAAUUUUACGAUAACAAUCUAGUGGUUAAAUCCGCAUCUAGGACUUUGAAAUCAAAAGGCAUGCUUUUUUUUUUAAGUUAAAGAGAGGUGCUCGGAGGGACUACAUUGUUUAAACUGAAUCCACAUAUCCUGCAACUAAUCGUGAUGUGAUUAGAUAUGCCAGCUAUUUUAUGAAGAAAUUAUUCUGGCACAAGUGUCCACUAUACUUCGUUCUCUUUUGCAGUCAUGCCAUAUGAAUGUUCGGCAAAAUGGUAAACUCAUCGAUCCUAUCGACUGUCUUGAUUUGCAUCUCAGAGAAAUAGUACUGAACGGCUAUCAAGGCAAGAGACGUGAGGUUAGCUUUGCCAGGUUCUUUGUUUUGCAUGCAAGGGUUCUCAAGGUAAUGAAAUUUGGUGUAUCUGGUAACUGUGACGAGAAAUGGAUGGCUAAUCAGUGCGAGCAGCUACACCUGGAUAACAGAGCUUCUACAGACACGCAGUUUUAUUUCGAAAGAGAUCGUGUUGAGUCCAGUUUUUACGAUAGCAAGCACAUCCAUGAUAUGUGGAUGCCUGAUCCCUUCGAUAGCUCAUUGUGUAAAUGCUGUUAACCAGCUUGAUGCCCUUUCAAGAGAUACGCUGUUUAUCUUUGUCGCCUAUUCUAUUCGAAACAUUAUAAUUCUAGAGUCUUUGGAAGUGCAUGUAAAAGCUACCUCUUGGUUUAUCAAACUGUUAGGCAAAACCUGGGAAGAUCAUCUUAUCAUCAUGUACUGGAAAUUUCAGCAUUCCCCCCCAUGUUCUAGUUUGCCGUGGUGGUGUCCAAAAUCUGGGGUUAUUAUUAGCUUUGAUAAUGAAUUAGUGCUUGGCUGCUUGAAAAACAAAAAACUGGGCAGGCUGGAGAUGGUCUAGUAUGUAGUAUGCAGAAAGAUCAUGUGCCAAUUUUCUGUGGUUCACCACCCGAAUUUUUUGUUUGUUUAAUUUUUGAUAUACCCACCCUGAUGUGCAUAUACACAUUUAUGCUAUGUAGUCUUUGUUCCUGAAAAGGAAUUCUAAGAAGAAAACGGCAGAUUGGCGGGCAUCUUACUUUGGUCUCUGAAAGGGCAGAUGAAAUCUAUGCCUGGAACGCGGCGGGAGUUCUUGGCGAUCAUCCCAUACAAAACGCAACCGUGGAGUGGAAUGAAUCAGGGCACCGAGGCUUGAGGAAUAAAUCUGAGUCAGGAGGAGAGGAUGGACAUGAAGACGGUGGACCAGGUGGCCGGUGAGCGCCACGGCGGCAUCGAGGAAAUUCUCCCCACUAGCUUGACCGCGUCGGGACGCACAGUGAAGGUUUUGGUUCUAGAAUCUAUCGGUCCCAAUCUGGAUGCAGUUGUUGGCUUCCUUAGAUGCUUUCCCUGCGUGGAGAAACUAUACAUCAGUCACGCCAUAGGAAGGAUAUGAAAAAUCUAUGCCAAUAUAGCACACUCGAUCCCAUCGAAUGCCUCGAACUCCAUCUCAGAGCAAUAGUAUUGAACACCUAUGAAGGCAAGAGAGCAGAUGUUAACCUUGCCAAGUUCUUUGUUCUGAACACAAAGGUGCUCAAGGUAAUGAAAUUUGGCGCCAGUGGUACCUGCAAUGAUAAAUGGGUGGCUAAUCAGCGCAGGCGGCUACAACUGGAUAUCAGUGCUUCCAGAGGUGCAAGAUUUUAUUUUAAAAGAGAUUUUGAUAUCCCCAGCUUUUGCGAUCACUAUCACUUUCAUGGUAUGUGGACAGUUGAUCCCUUUGGUAGCUCGUAGUGCAAAUGUUGUUAUCUGGUAUGACGCCCUUUCAGUGGAGUCUCUUGCAAAAAAACAGUAGCCUGAAGUAUGCUGAAAUUUAGAAGUUUUCAGAGCCAGGGGAUAUAUGUGUCUAUGCUCUUUCCAUACUGAAAUAAAUUGUUUCUAUCUCUGAAGUAUACUGGAAUUCAGAAGUCCGCAGAACCAGAGUUCAGAAGUCGACAGGGGAUUAAGUAAGCACAAGCUCCUGCCUCAGCCGGUAGAAGGGGAGGGCAGCCUCUUACUUUGGUCUCUGAAAGUUUAUGUAAAAGAGUUUGUAUUGUUUGCAGAACUGUCUUGCAAGACUAUCAUGUGAUUUGCCACGUUCCAUGGUUGGUGGGCCCCUAUGACCCGCACUAUAUAAAUAGAGGUGGGGGCCGGGACAUGAGUAACGAGGUUAAUCGCUGCCACAAACCCACCUCACUCCCUACCGAUCUAGGGUUAGCGCGGUGCUCACGGGAAGCUCCACCGCCGCCAUCCACUCUCUGCCUUCACCGGCCACUACUUCGCCACGGCCGGCACCGGCUCGAGCUUGUCAGCCAAAGGAGAAGGUAGGUUCACCGGAUGAUCUAGCCUACUCCGAUCCAAGGGAUCCAACAAGAGGAAGGCCGAUGACCAAGGCAAGUGAACAGGAGAUCAGCUUGCUCAC
Triticum aestivum (bread wheat) is the source of this 3056-nucleotide RNA transcript. It is a transcript of the gene named F-box/LRR-repeat protein At3g59190, with no coding region annotated. The record is from RefSeq and is a predicted model, not a curated record. The transcript is spliced from 5 exons. NCBI's taxonomy places the organism in Eukaryota, Viridiplantae, Streptophyta, Magnoliopsida, Poales, Poaceae.